UGCCGUGGUAGUGGAGGAUAAAACUAGAUUAUCUCUUGAGGACCAUCACAGAUCAAUGUAGUCUUUGUCAAAUUUAAAAAGAAUUUCAACAUAAUGAUAGAGACACAAUCAGAACUGUGAGUGUAUUUCUGACAAGAACUAAACUGCAAGAAUAGCAGUCAUCAAACCACGAAGACCCUGUGAAUACAACUGACUGAAGUCUGACAGGAGUAGCACCACCUGCUGGUAGAAAACACAAUCAGGGUGUUCAUUGCCUGUGAAAAAAAAAAAUCUAAGCGUGUCCUGGUAGAAUCACGAGAAGUUGAGGUCACGAGCGUGUUGUACAUACCAAUUGGGAAUUGCCGCGCGCAGAUUGACACACACACACCCCUCAGCUGAUCUUUGCCGGCACACGUCGAUCAUCUGCUGAACACUGACGCUCCCAAGGCACUUUCAUGAGUCCACCUCGUGCAAAGCACAGAUGGCGCGGCCAUGCCUGCGUCCCCUGGUCCCGAGCGAUCACUGCUCGUGGGGCUACACUACACACCCGGGACAGUUCCCCGCGUCCAGGCAUUUCGUCG
Molecule: long non-coding RNA, 560 nt
Filed under: Sorghum bicolor (sorghum)
Lineage: Eukaryota; Viridiplantae; Streptophyta; Magnoliopsida; Poales; Poaceae
Description: long non-coding RNA (SBIC_LNC016852)
Source: RNAcentral